UGCGUAGGCGGUGCCCUAAGUCUGUUGUGAAAUCUCCCGGCUCAACUGGGAGGGUGCGGUGGAAACUGGGGUGCUUGAGUGUGGGAGAGGUUAGCGGAAUUCCUGGUGUAGCGGUGAAAUGCGUAGAUAUCAGGAGGAACACCGGUGGUGUAGACGGCUAACUGGACCACGACUGACGCUGAGGCACGAAAGCGUGGGUAGCAAACA
This 207-nucleotide ribosomal RNA is filed under the name uncultured bacterium. RNAcentral describes it as "partial 16S ribosomal RNA". It matches the Rfam family "Bacterial small subunit ribosomal RNA", at positions 568 to 774 of the family's 1533-position model. The record is from RNAcentral.